This 460-nucleotide ribosomal RNA is filed under the name uncultured bacterium. Its description in RNAcentral is "partial 16S ribosomal RNA". It matches the Rfam family "Bacterial small subunit ribosomal RNA", at positions 338 to 795 of the family's 1533-position model. The record is from RNAcentral.
CCUACGGGAGGCAGCAGUGGGGAAUAUUGCACAAUGGCCGAGAGGCUGAACCAGCCAAGCCGCGUGAGUGAAGAAUGUCCUCGGGAUUUAAAACAUCUUCUGUCAGGGAGAAAAGUCACCCAUGUGUGAGUGUAGGAGAGUACGUGAAGAAAAAGCAUCGGCUAACUCCGCGCCAGCAGCGGCGGUAAUACGGAGGAUGCGAGCGUUAUCCGGAUUUAUUGGGUUUAAAGUGAGCGUAGAUGGGUUGGUAAGUCAGUUGUGAAAGUUUGCGGCUCAACCGUAAAAUUGCAAUUGAUACUGGCAGCCUUGAGUACAGUUGAGGUAGGCGGAAUUCGUGGUGUAGCGGUGAAAUGCGUAGAUAUCACGAAGAACACCGAUUGCGAAGGCAGCUUACUAGACUGACACUGACAUUGAGGCUCGAAAGUGUGGGGAGCAAACAGGAUUAGAUACCCUAGUAGUC